This 270-nucleotide long non-coding RNA is filed under the name Salvia miltiorrhiza (redroot sage). RNAcentral's name for it is "long non-coding RNA (SMIL_LNC004002)". The record is from RNAcentral. Lineage: Eukaryota; Viridiplantae; Streptophyta; Magnoliopsida; Lamiales; Lamiaceae.
GGACAUAAAUUGACUCCUCAUAUAUAUUUAUUAACAUAGUACAAUUUUAUUAAAAACAAAGAAAGAAAAAAUUAUCAACCCAUGAAAGCAAGAAGAUCCUAGUACAGGUCGAGCCUCGUUAAAAACUCUGUAAGAAGAAAAAAAGUGUUCGUCUAUUACAACGAAGGGAAAAAGCCAAAAAGGAAAAAACUCAACAAGGCAAACGAGCAUGCCCGAAGACAAAACAAUGGUACCCGACAUUUCAAGACCCAAACCCCAGCGCACCAGAGA